RNAcentral lists this ribosomal RNA (492 nucleotides) under uncultured bacterium. Its description in RNAcentral is "bacterial SSU rRNA". It matches the Rfam family "Bacterial small subunit ribosomal RNA", at positions 36 to 524 of the family's 1533-position model. The record is from RNAcentral.
GAAACCUGCAGGAGGAAUGAGCUAGCACUCCGAGGGGUAGCAUUGGAUAGUUACGUCUACACGGGGGAAGCCGGCGAGUCACACGUAUGGAACUUAUCGGUAUUAAAAGGAUAGCCCGAAGAAAUUCGGAUUAAUACUCUAUAACAGUAGACAUCACCUGGUGUUUACUUGAAAGAUUUAUCGGACAGAGAUAGCCAUGCGUUAGAUUAGCUAGUUGGUAAGGUAACGGCUUACCAAGGCGACGAUCUAUAGGGGGCCUGAGAGGGUGAUCCCCCACACUGGUACUGAGACACGGACCAGACUCCUACGGGAGGCAGCAGUGAGGAAUAUUGGACAAUGGGCGCAAGCCUGAUCCAGCCAUCCCGCGUGAAGGAUGACGGCCUUAUGGGUUGUAAACUUCUUUUAUAUAGGAAUAAACCUGCUUACGUGUAAGUAGCUGAAGGUACUAUAUGAAUAAGCACCGGCUAACUCCGUGCCAGCAGCCGCGGUAAU